GGGAGUGAAAUAGAACCUGAAACCCUGCACUUACAAGCUGUGGAAGCACAUUUCUUGUGUGACCGCGUACUUUUUGUAGAACGGGCCAACGAGUUACGUUAAGUAGCAAGGUUAAGCACUUAAGGUGCGGAGCCGUAGCGAAAGCGAGUUUUAACUGAGCGUUCAGUUACUUGACGUAGACCCGAAACCGGGCGACCUACCCAUGAGCAGGCUGAAGCGAAAGUAAAAUUUCGUGGAGGUCCGAACCCACGAGCGUUGAAAAGCUCGGGGAUGACUUGUGGGUAGCGGUGAAAUUCCAAUCGAGCCCGGAGAUAGCUGGUUCUCCCCGAAAUAGCUUUAGGGCUAGCCUCAAGGUGAGAGAUACGGAGGUAGAGCACUGAAUGUCCUAGGGGGUAUUGCACCUACCGAAGACUAUCAAACUCCGAAUGCCGUCAUCUUAUACUUGGGAGUCAGACUGUGGGUGAUAAGAUUCAUAGUCGAAAGGGCAACAGCCCAGAUCGUCAGCUAAGGUCCCUAAAUGUAAGUUAAGUGGUAAAGGAUGUGGGAUUGCACAGACAACCAGGAUGUUGGCUUAGAAGCAGCCACUCAUUCAAAGAGUGCGUAAUAGAGUGAUGGUAGAGUGAUUCUGCGCUGUAGAGAUCCGGGUUUAAACGUUACGGCUGAGGCUACGGCAUCAUUAACAGUGGGUAGGGGAGCUGCACAUACGGGUUGAGUUAUUACCGUAGGGACUUGUGGACAGUAUGGGAGUGAGAAUGUUGGCAUGAGUAGCGAGAUGUGGGUGAGAAUCCCACAGGCCGUAAACCCAAGGU
This 809-nucleotide ribosomal RNA is filed under the name Clostridioides difficile. Its description in RNAcentral is "bacterial LSU rRNA". It matches the Rfam family "Bacterial large subunit ribosomal RNA", at positions 534 to 1351 of the family's 2925-position model. The record is from RNAcentral. Lineage: Bacteria; Bacillati; Bacillota; Clostridia; Peptostreptococcales; Peptostreptococcaceae.